RNAcentral lists this ribosomal RNA (462 nucleotides) under uncultured bacterium. RNAcentral describes it as "partial 16S ribosomal RNA". It matches the Rfam family "Bacterial small subunit ribosomal RNA", at positions 29 to 507 of the family's 1533-position model. The record is from RNAcentral.
AGUGAACGCUGGCGGCGUGCCUAAUACAUGCAAGUCGAACGGAGAUUAAGUAUCUUGCUAUUUAAUCUUAGUGGCGCACGGGUGAGUAAUAUAUAGCUAACUUGCCCAUUACUAAGGGACAACAGUUGGAAACGACUGCUAAUACCUUAUACUCCGUAUCUAUAUAAGUAGAUACGGGAAAGUUUUUCGGUAAUGGAUAGGGCUAUAUCGUAUCAGCUAGUUGGUAAGGUAAUGGCUUACCAAGGCUAUGACGCGUAACUGGUCUGAGAGGAUGAUCAGUCACACUGGAACUGAGACACGGUCCAGACUCCUACGGGAGGCAGCAGUAGGGAAUAUUGCUCAAUGGGGGAAACCCUGAAGCAGCAACGCCGCGUGGAGGAUGACACUUUUCGGAGCGUAAACUCCUUUUCUUGGGAAAGAAUUAUGACGGUACCCAAGGAAUAAGCACCGGCUAACUCCGUG